GUGCUUGCCAAGCCUGCUUUCUGUGUGCUGCUCCUGUCUAUACUGGGCUCGGCUCUGGGGCGCGGCGGCAGGCGCAGGGACUGCAACGUGCCCGACGUGCUUCGGCAUUACCGCGCGGUCAUCUUCGAAGAGUUGCAGGCGGUGGUGAGCGAAAACCCCGCCAGGAUUGGCUUUUCUUGGGGAGGGAUAUGGGAUGUGGGAUCAGUACCUGCAGCCGGGGAGCUGCUCCUGGGAAUGGGAUAGGGGGGUCGCAAGAACGCCGUAUUCAGGCUUGUUGGGGAGGGGCAAGGGUCACUCCACAAGUCCCUUCUUUGAUUUUAUCCAGAAAAACUUGACGGGCACCGGGGCUCUCAGGCGCCGGGGACGAGGCGCCUCCUGCCGGGCAGAAAAGGAGCACCGCAUCUUGAUGUCUAUCUCAUCCAUGGGACGGGCUCUGCGCAAGGCAGUGGCAGGGGCCGGGGCUGGACCCGGACGCCGCCGCGGAGCCCUGGAGAAGGCCGUGUGGACAGUGGCCAUGCACACUGAGGCAGUGACCCGAGAGUACUGCGGGACUCUGCAUCAGCGAAGCCAGAAGCGGCUGAGCCAGGAGUGGCAGGAGCGGAAGCGGGGUCCGGAGAUGGAGCCAGAGCUGAACCUGGAGCCGGCCCUUGCCCCGGGUCGGAGUCGGGGUCGGGGUCAGAGACGGCGUCUGUUGGGAGCCGUGGAACACUUGGCUGCCUGUUGGGAGAAAUUGUUUUUUCUGCGCUCCCUGGCUUCGGCCGCCGGGAGCUAUUAG
This 775-nucleotide long non-coding RNA is filed under the name Phascolarctos cinereus (koala). RNAcentral's name for it is "lncRNA (ENSPCIG00000017907.2)". Lineage: Eukaryota; Metazoa; Chordata; Mammalia; Diprotodontia; Phascolarctidae. The record is from RNAcentral.